RNAcentral lists this ribosomal RNA (484 nucleotides) under uncultured bacterium. RNAcentral describes it as "partial 16S ribosomal RNA". It matches the Rfam family "Bacterial small subunit ribosomal RNA", at positions 30 to 507 of the family's 1533-position model. The record is from RNAcentral.
AUUGAACGCUAGCGGGAUGCUUUACACAUGCCAGUCGAACGGCAGCGCGGACUUCGGUCUGGCGGCGAGUGGCGAACGGGUGAGUAAUGUAUCGGGACGUGCCCAGUAGCGGGGGAUAACUACGCGAAAGCGUAGCUAAUACCGCAUACGCCCUACGGGGGAAAGCAGGGGAUCGUAAGACCUUGCACUAUUGGAGCGGCCGAUAUCGGAUUAGCUAGUUGGUGAGGUAACGGCUCACCAAGGCGACGAUCCGUAGCUGGUUUGAGAGGACGACCAGCCACACUGGGACUGAGACACGGCCCAGACUCCUACGGGAGGCAGCAGUGGGGAAUUUUGGACAAUGGGGGCAACCCUGAUCCAGCCAUCCCGCGUGUGCGAUGAAGGCCUUCGGGUUGUAAAGCACUUUUGGCAGGAAAGAAACGUCGCGGGCUAAUACCCCGUGGAACUGACGGUACCUGCAGAAUAAGCACCGGCUAACUACGUG